This 353-nucleotide RNase P RNA is filed under the name Parachlamydiaceae bacterium. RNAcentral describes it as "RNase P RNA component class A". It matches the Rfam family "Bacterial RNase P class A". Rfam says of the family: Ribonuclease P (RNase P) is a ubiquitous endoribonuclease, found in archaea, bacteria and eukarya as well as chloroplasts and mitochondria. Its best characterised activity is the generation of mature 5'-ends of tRNAs by cleaving the 5'-leader elements of precursor-tRNAs. Lineage: Bacteria; Pseudomonadati; Chlamydiota; Chlamydiia; Parachlamydiales; Parachlamydiaceae. The record is from RNAcentral.
UGGGGGAGGUAGGCAAUCGCCCGCAUUCGCCGUGCGCGAAGUGCGAGAGGAAAGUCUGGACAUCAUAGGAGAGGAUACCAGUGAAAGACUGGGGGCCGUAAGGCUACGGAAAGUGCAACAGAAAAUAUUCCGCUAACAGCUUCGGCUGUUAGACAGGGUGAAAUAGACUGUUUUGUGAACAGUCUCUCACUUGGGGAAACCCAAGGAGUUGUAAACCCUAUCCGAUGCAAAGCAACUAGAAGCUAUAGAGCUCUCCGCCCUGCUUCUGACAAGCCGCUUGAGGACCCUGGUGACAGGGUCCCUAGAUGAAUGAUUGCCCUCGACAGGAUCCGGCUUAUCGCCUCCCCCUUUUU